CUAGAAUGCGGUAGAGUAAAAGGAAUUCCUGGUGUAGCGGUGAAAUGCGUAGAUAUCAGGAGGAACAUCGGUGGCGAAAGCGCUUUACUGGGCCGUUAUUGACGCUGAGGAACGAAAGCCGGGGGAGCAAAUGGGAUUAGAUACCCCAGUAGUCCCGGCCGUAAACGAUGGAUACUAGGUGUUGCGGGUAUCGACCCCUGCAGUGCCGUAGCUAACGCGAUAAGUAUCCCGCCUGGGGAGUACGCACGCAAGUGUGAAACUUAAAGGAAUUGACGGGGACCCGCACAAGCGGUGGAACAUGUGGUUUAAUUCGAAGCAACGCGAAGAACCUUACCAGGGCUUGACAUCUAGAGAAUUCUGAUGAAAGUCGGAAGUGCCCUUCGGGGAGCUCUAAGACAGGUGGUGCACGGUUGUCGUCAGCUCGUGCCGUGAGAUGUUGGGUUAAGCCCCGCAACGAGCGCAACCCUCGUCGUUAGUUGGUCAUAUCGGUAUACUGAUAUGUAUCUCUCUAGCGAGACUGCCGGUGAUAAACCGGAGGAAGGUGAGGACGACGUCAAAUCAUCAUGCCCCUUAUGUCCUGGGCUACACACGUGUUACAAUGGCCGGUACAACGAGCGGCGAACUCGCGAGGGUAAGCGAAUCUCUUAAACCCGGUCUCAGUUCGGAUUGCACUCUGCAACUCGAGUGCAUGAAGUCGGAAUCGCUAGUAAACGCAGAUCAGCACGCUGCGUUGAAUACGUUCCCGGGUCUUGUACACACCGCCCGUCACACCAUGGAAGUCGACCACGCCCAAAGUACGUGAGCUAACCAUUCGGAGGCAGCGUCCUAAGGCAGGGUUGGUAACUGGGGUGAAGUCGUAACAAAGGUAGCCGUAGCC
This 877-nucleotide ribosomal RNA is filed under the name uncultured bacterium. RNAcentral describes it as "bacterial SSU rRNA". It matches the Rfam family "Bacterial small subunit ribosomal RNA", at positions 641 to 1507 of the family's 1533-position model. The record is from RNAcentral.